GGCUGGUCCGAUGGCAGUGGGUUAUCAGACCUUAUUAACAUUAGUGUCACUAAAGUUGGUAUACAACCCCCCACUGCUAAAUUUGACUGGCUUUAA
Cavia aperea (Brazilian guinea pig) is the source of this 96-nucleotide unclassified non-coding RNA. It matches the Rfam family "Y RNA". From Rfam's summary of the family: Y RNAs are components of the Ro ribonucleoprotein particle (Ro RNP), in association with Ro60 and La proteins. The Y RNAs and Ro60 and La proteins are well conserved, but the function of the Ro RNP is not known. Lineage: Eukaryota; Metazoa; Chordata; Mammalia; Rodentia; Caviidae. The record is from Ensembl.